Molecule: ribosomal RNA, 2868 nt
Filed under: Triticum aestivum (bread wheat)
Lineage: Eukaryota; Viridiplantae; Streptophyta; Magnoliopsida; Poales; Poaceae
Description: partial small subunit ribosomal RNA
Source: RNAcentral
AUGAAGAGCCCCUCCCGGCUACGCGCCGCCCCCUUCGUGUCCGCGCUCGUCCUUCUGCUGCUCGCUCUGGUUCCUUCUCCGGAGGCGGCCGAGCCCACCACGCCGGGGACCCGGACGCGCAAACUCGGCCGCGACGCCGGUUCCUCGGUGUUCUCGCUCUUCAACAUGAAGCCCCAGAGCAAGUUCUGGACCGAAUCGGUCAUGCGGACAGAGUUCGAUGACUUGGAGGGCUCGAAGUCAAGGGACUCCAUCAACAUUGGGCUUCUGAACUUCACGAGAGCUGGCAAUGUUGCAAACUAUAUGAACCUGGCGGAAGUUGAUUCGAUAUAUUUUUCAAUCCCUGUGAACUUCAUCUUUAUGGGAUUUGAUGGCAAAGGGGGCCAUGAGUUUAAGUUGGGACCUGAAGAACUGGAGCGCUGGUUUACAAAAAUCGACCACAUAAUUGAGCAUACGAGAAUCCCUCCGGUUGGAGAAGUUCUUACCCCAUUCUAUAAGACUACCGUUAAGAGACUAAAGAAAUAUGAUCUUCCUUUAGUAAGCCACGUGAAUCACAAUUUUUCUGUGCAUGCAAUACACAUGGGAGAAGAUAUCAUGUCUGUCUUUGAACAUGCUGUAAAAGUUCUAUCACGCAGAGAAGAUCUCACAGAUCCCAGUGAAAAUGGGGCGUCGAUUUGGCAAGUGGACAGUGAUCAAAUGGAGCAUGUAUUUUCAACACUUGUCGAUCACCUUCAGAUACAAGAAGCAUACAACAUCUUCAUUCUUAACCCCAAGCCUAUUGAAAAGAGUACUCAGUAUGGUUAUCGGAAGGGCUUCUCCGAGUCUGAGAUCAACUUACUGAGGGAGAAUAAGACCCUGCAAGCUCGGAUACUCCAAUCUAAAAGGGACCCAAAACUUUAUCUUGAUAUAGAGAAGGGAGUCAACAAAAGGCCCUUGUAUGAAAAUCAUCCCCUGUCAUCAUUUUCAUGGACCACAACUGACAAUGUGGAUAUGGGUGAUUGGUCAAAACAGUGCAAGGAAGCCUUAAGUGGUUUUGAACUGUUGAAGGCAGGAAAAAGUAAAGAGGACAUUAUUUAUGACAAAGCUGUUCAGAUAUUACAUGGUGCAAAAGAUGAGCUGCAUGAUGUUCUAGAGAGCGCACUCAUGUCCAGUGAUUUGAAGGGUUUGCAUGCUGAAUGCCUUACAGAUAUAUGGGUCGGCAGAAACAGGUUUGCUUUUGUUGAUCUUACUGCCGGACCAUUUUCCUGGGGCCCUGCUGUCGGUGGGGAUGGUGUUCGUACAGAACUUACUCUGCCAAAUGUGGCAAAAACUGUUGGGGCUGUCGCAGAAGUCACAGAGGAAGAGGCUGAAGAAAAUCUACAAGAUACAAUCAGAGAAAGAUUUUCUUCUGUUGGCGAGGAUUACCAUGCCGUAGAUAUCCUAUUGGCAGAGAUUGAUGUAUAUGAACUUUUUGCUUUCAAGCAUUGCAUGAAAAGAAGGGUACAACUUGCCCUUUGCAAAGAACUCGAUCAUAGAAUGCACGAGCUGAAAAAUGAACUGAAGGGCUACAACAGUGGAGAUUCUGAAGAAAUUAAUAAGAAGAAAGCUCUUGAUGCACUGAAGAGGAUGGAAAAUUGGAACUUGUUUAAAGAUAACUCUGAGGAACAUCAUAGUUACACAGUGGCUCGUGAUUCAUUUCUUGCACACCUGGGGUCAACAUUAUGGGGCUCUAUGAGGCAUGUAGUUGCUCCAUCUGUUUCUCACAGAGCAUACCAUUACUAUGAGAAGCUAUCAUUUCAGUUGUACUUCGUCACACAAGAGAAAGUCAGGACCAUAAAGCAGUUGCCCAUUAAUGUAAAAUCCAUCAGAGAUGGCCUUAGUUCUUUGUUAUUACCGUCUCAGAAGUCAAUGUUUACCCAACACAUGCUGUCAUUGUCAGAGGAACCAGCAUUGAUGAUGGCAUUUUCUAUGGCUCGCCGUGCAGCCGCGGUUCCACUUCUAUUGGUCAAUGGUACCUAUAGGUCCACAGUCCGUACAUACCUCGAUUCUGCUAUUCUCCAGCACCAAUUACAGAAAUUAAGUGAGCAAACUGCACUUAAAGGAGAACAUACAAAUCACAGGUCAACAUUGGAGGUUCCAGUAUUCUGGUUCAUACAUAGUGAACCCCUAUUACUGGAUAAACAUUAUCAAGCUAAGGCUCUUUCAAACAUGGUAGUCGUGGUUCAGUCAGAUGUCGAUUCUUGGGAAAGCCACAUACAAUGCAAUGGGAGGUCAAUCUUAUGGGAUCUGAGGAAACCAGUUAAGGCGGCUAUUGCUGCAUCUGCUGAAUAUGUAUCUGGUUUACUUCCUUCGCAUCUGGCUUAUAGCUCAGCUCAUGAAACUGCAUCAGAGGACUGGACAUGGUCUGUGGGCUGUAAUCCCUUAUCUAUUAGUUCUAAAGGUUGGCAACUUUCAGAAUUUCAGCAAGAUGUGAUCGCACGGAACUAUAUUAUUACUGGAGUGGAGGAAUCCAUACGAGUAGUCAAUUCAGCAAUUCAACGAUUGGUAACAGAGAGGACAUCUGAACAAGGCUUUAAAAUUUUCAAGACCAAGGAGAGCGGGAUGGUUGAAAAGUACAAUUCCGUUGUUAACAUGUGGAGAAGGGUUGCCUUUAUGUCUAGAGGGUUGCGGUAUGGUGAUGCGGUAAAGCUCAUGUCGUCGCUCGAGGAGGCUUCUAAUGGAUUUUCUCAUGCUGUGAACUCAACCAUCUCAAGUCUACACCCUGCAAAAUGUGCUCGUCAAAGGAAAAUUGACGUACAGCUAGACAUGACAACCAUCCCUGCUUUUAUAGUUGUUUUUGGGUUGCUUUGGUUUCUUUUGCGACCAAGGAGGCCGAAGCCCAAGAUCAACUGA